GUCUAUGGCCAUGCCACCCUGAAUGCGCCCGAUCUCGUCUCAUCUCGGAAGCUAAGCAAGGCUGGGCCUGGUUAGUACUUUGAUGGAAUACCAGGUGCUGUAGGCA
This 106-nucleotide ribosomal RNA is filed under the name Pteropus alecto (black flying fox). The record is from RNAcentral. Lineage: Eukaryota; Metazoa; Chordata; Mammalia; Chiroptera; Pteropodidae.